UUUGUUGAGGCAGGAGCUCUUAUGCUGGUUUUUGUUAGUUUAUUUUUUAUUUUUGUUCGUAGGCACAAGCUCUUACUCUGGUUUUACAUUUUUUUGUUGUUGUUUCUUCAAGUUGUCUUCAAGAUUGUCAGCAAUAAAUUGUCACUGAAUCAUCAGUAAAGACUUGUUGGAAGAUAUCAGUCAAGAUGCAGAUAUAGAAGAAUUCCGAAAUAAUUGGGCUGUGCCUGAAAAACCGGGGAGUAGUUCCGAAAACCAGAAGCAACAACUCGACGACUGGAGCGACCCUAGCUUUCUGUCAAGCGCCGUCAACAUAUUGCAACGGAGACUGCAUCGCAUGACCACACACAGAUUCCGGCAAGAAGAUGGGUCUGAUUUUAAACUGUUUAUGAACCAUGUAAUUCUUUUAACAGAUCAUUGUGACAAACUGUUAGACUGUUAGAAAAUCAUGUCUCAGAAACGAAGCUAUUGUGAUUUUCGGGAAAAUAAAGCUAAAAAGUCCAACCUUGCAUCUUGUUCAAACAAGGAUUCAAGGAGAUUUUAUUGUCAUUCGCAUCACAUGUGGUACAUGAGGUGAAACGAAAUUGUGAUCUCACAAUCCAGUUUACACCCAAGAGCUGUUGUUAAAAGAGAGAUAUAUAUAAAAAAGAUAACAAAAUAAAAGAAUACAAUAAAAAAUAGAAUAUACAAAAUAGAUAAAGAUAAAUACCCAAAAAAUAAAUAAAGAGAGUAGACAGGUAGCAGCAACAUAAAGUCCAGAGUGCAUGUUUGCUAUAGCAGAAUGAUAUGGAAUUAGAGCAGUAAAAGAUAAAGUGUCUCAGUGCGGGUAAAAUGACAGUGUUUGUAAACAGUAAUUUGUCCUUGUGUGUCAGUGCAGUGUGUUCUUAUGUGGAGUUUAAGA
Astyanax mexicanus (Mexican tetra) is the source of this 898-nucleotide long non-coding RNA. RefSeq lists it as uncharacterized. The record is from RefSeq and is a predicted model, not a curated record. NCBI's taxonomy places the organism in Eukaryota, Metazoa, Chordata, Actinopteri, Characiformes, Acestrorhamphidae. The transcript has 3 exons.